Molecule: non-coding RNA, 420 nt
Filed under: Dipodomys ordii (Ord's kangaroo rat)
Lineage: Eukaryota; Metazoa; Chordata; Mammalia; Rodentia; Heteromyidae
Description: Bacterial large subunit ribosomal RNA
Rfam family: Bacterial large subunit ribosomal RNA
Source: Rfam by way of RNAcentral
UUCUGUGAAGAGGCAGAAAUUUAAUAAGACAAGAAUACCCUAUGGCGCUUAAAGUAACAUUACAAUUAUUUUCACCAUCAACUACCAGAAUUAAAACAAUAAUAACAUGGAAUCUAAAUUUUGGUUGGAGUGACCUCGGAGCACAAAAUAACUUCUGAAAGACCAUCAUUAGGACCUAAAAGUCUAAUUUACUCAAUUCUCAUUCUUGACCCAGAAUACAUCUGAUCAAUGGACCAAAUUACCCUAGGGAUAUCAGCACAAUCCUAUUAGAGACUCAGUAUCGAUAAUAAGCUUUAUGACCUCGAUGCUGGAUCAGAACAUUCUAAUGGUGCAGCAGCUAUUAAAGGUUCAGUUGUUCAACUAUUAAAGACCUAUGUGAUCUGAGUUCAGACCAGAAAAUCCAGUUCAGUUUCUAUUUAG